This is a long non-coding RNA of Asterias rubens (European starfish), 389 nucleotides long. RefSeq lists it as uncharacterized. The record is from RefSeq and is a predicted model, not a curated record. Lineage: Eukaryota; Metazoa; Echinodermata; Asteroidea; Forcipulatida; Asteriidae. The transcript is spliced from 3 exons.
CGGAGCUCUUUUUUCGGGAUCGCUUUGAGAAGAAGAAGUCUGACGGGCGAGAAUACAUCGGGGUUCUGAGUUGAGGCAGCGCUGCGAUUGCUGCUGGGACGGUUUCUUAGGAUCACAGCGCUAGACGUCGUUGAUUGCUUGAAUUAAAUGCCUGAAGGUGAAGUGAAGCUGCGCUAAUUCCGGUAAAUUUCUCGUCGUUGCUUAACAAACUCCGUUGAGACUCAAGCAGGGUGACUAGUGCUGGAGUUUACCUUAUCUGAUCUGUUAUUUGGAGAAACGACAAUGACUGCUUUAUUCAGGAGGCAGUAGCCUACAGGCUGGAGGGGAGACUAACUCAUUUCAUAUCAGGGAACCAUUGUCUUCUCAAUAAGCCAUCUUUUAACUCACAG